AAUUAACUCACUUAAAGACUGGACUCAGAGGAAGUGUAAUGGGUGAACACUCAAAGCACAGGAGGAGAGCUCAAAUCCCUCAAAUCUCAGUGAUUCAAGUGGACUGAGUCACUUCUGGGCUCCAGCUGAUCUUGAAUAAUGAGACACACCAUGGUAUGAAAAGUGAGCCUGAAGAACCCUGAAAGCAUUUCUGAGUUGGAUGAGAUUUGGCUAGAAAAACAUCCUGUACUUAUGACUUGCAACAUAUGGCUUAGAAAGUAUUUUUUCUAUAACGCCUCUAAUAUAUAUGCAGAAGACACAAAGAGGGCAACUCAAUAUCACAAAAAACAGUCUAUCUCCAACUGGUGGCAAAGAUGAAUUCUAGACUCAUCACACUAGCUUCACAACUCAGCAGAAAAAAAUCCUGGGAUUGAUCUCAUUGGCCUGGGUUGACUCAUGUGGCCAUCUGUGAACCAGUCACUGAGCUUGAGGGAUGGAGUGCUCUCACUUGCCAGAUGUGUGCAGAUCCCUGGAGCUGGAGAAGGGAAGGGAUACAUGGAAACCAGGGGAGAGAUGGUUCUUCCAAGGAGCAUUGGCAUGCUCUUUCCAAAAAGAGGGUAUUUUGCAUUUCACCUCUGACAAGUGGUCCUUUGCUACACCCAUCACCUGGCUCUAAUCCUGCUUUCUUUUUACUUGUAUACUCCAUGCUUACCUUCUUAGAAGAGAGAUCUGGGUACUGGAAUGUUCUGGAGUCCAGAAAAGGACACCGUGCCACCCUUUAACAACAGCGCCAUGAUGCAGAAGGUCCACAAGCUGGCUCGAACUUAAAGGCAACUUCACUGUCUCCCCUAGUGCCUGGCACACAGCAGGUCAUUGUAAAUUUUUGUACACUGAAAUGAACAUCUAGCCACACACUGCAUGACUGGGGUUAGUGAGCUCGGCAGUCCAUAUUUCAGUCUCCAACUGCGUGAUUGUUGACUUCCUGCUGUGUGUCAGGCACCCUGGCAUGUGCGCCACUGUCUGAAUUCAGACCGGAUUCAAAUAUCACCUUCUGCAUAGCCCUCAUGUCAUCUUUAUCAUGCAGCUUUUUCAUCUUGCCUUAUUUUUGUCACUUGAAAUAUUACAGUUUUUGUCUACUUAUUUAUUUUAUGAGCACCCCCACCCCAUAAACACAGUAUAAAGUAGUGCAGAAGCAGGAAUAGAAACUUCAUCUAUCCCACAUAUUGGGAACACUCUCCAGAAAACAAUAGAUGCUCAAUAAAUAUUGGCUGAAUG
Molecule: long non-coding RNA, 1254 nt
Filed under: Homo sapiens (human)
Lineage: Eukaryota; Metazoa; Chordata; Mammalia; Primates; Hominidae
Description: PREDICTED lncRNA (TCONS_00193463)
Source: RNAcentral